AUUGAACGCUGGCGGCAGGCCUAACACAUGCAAGUCGAACGAGUGGCGGACGGGUGAGUAAUGUCGGGGAAACUGCCUGAUGGAGGGGGAUAACUACUGGAAACGGUAGCUAAUACCGCAUACCAUCAGAUGUGCCCAGAUGGGAUUAGCUAGUUGGUGGGGUAACGGCUCACCAAGGCGACGAGCCCUAGCUGGGCUGCGAGGAUGACCAGCCACACUGGAACUGUGAAACGGGCCAGCCGCCGACGUGAGGCAGCAGUGGGGAAUAGUGCACAAUGGGCGCAAGCCUGAUGCAGCCAUGCCGCGUGUAUGAAGAAGGCCCUCGGGUUGUAAGGUACUUUCAGCGGGGAGGCGUUACCCGCAGAAGAAGCACCGGCUAACUCCGUGCCAGCAGCCGCGGUAAUUC
This 406-nucleotide ribosomal RNA is filed under the name uncultured bacterium. Its description in RNAcentral is "partial 16S ribosomal RNA". It matches the Rfam family "Bacterial small subunit ribosomal RNA", at positions 29 to 526 of the family's 1533-position model. The record is from RNAcentral.